CGCGCCAAUCGUUGCGCCAAAGAAGGGACGAAGAUCACUGCCGUGGUGCACAGGAUCGAGGCGGCAAGCCACACUCCCGAAACGCCUUGGCAAAGGUCCCCCAAGCCACGGCUGUCCAUCGCUAAAAUGCGACGACGGAACUAAACAUCCUAUAGCGCCGCGAUGCUGGAUGUCCACUUGGAACUGGGAGCAUCGCUCGCCGGCGCGCCUAGCAAUUGCGGCGUGCUCCUAUCAGUCAUCGAACAACGUUCCAAGAAACCACGGCGGCGUAU
Molecule: unclassified non-coding RNA, 272 nt
Filed under: Hevea brasiliensis (rubber tree)
Lineage: Eukaryota; Viridiplantae; Streptophyta; Magnoliopsida; Malpighiales; Euphorbiaceae
Source: RNAcentral